This 412-nucleotide long non-coding RNA is filed under the name Musa acuminata (dwarf banana). RNAcentral describes it as "long non-coding RNA (MACU_LNC011613)". The record is from RNAcentral. Lineage: Eukaryota; Viridiplantae; Streptophyta; Magnoliopsida; Zingiberales; Musaceae.
ACCCAUGUGUUAAGCAAGUAGUCAAUAGAUAAGUCGACUGUAGUUGCCUGUUCCCCGAAACACCCAUAAAUAAGCAUUAGCACAAGUAUAAGCCAUAAGAUAAGGGAGUCUUGUAUAUAACUAAGAAGCGGGUUAUUAUUGAAUCAGAGGAUUGAUCUUCAGAAGGAUAAAGAGAAUCAUCAUCAUCAGAAGAAGCAAGGGUUCAGAUAUUCCUGCCACCAGUUGCACCUUAGCUAGUUUAGCGUAAGAGAAAUUCAUUAGCUGACCCUAUUAAGUAAGUCGGAAACCAGAACUCCACAAACAAGAACAAUGAACUUUAGGGCUGGACUACCUUUCUUAUGAGACCCCUCUGGCUACUUAGUGAAAUUCUUGGAUUGACUGUUUUCAUUCCUUCAAUUGACUAGCGGACCUG